CAUCGAUGGAUAGGGGUUCUGAGAGGAAGGUCCCCCACAUUGGAACUGAGACACGGUCCAAACUCCUACGGGAGGCAGCAGUGAGGAAUAUUGGUCAAUGGGCGCUAGCCUGAACCAGCCAAGUAGCGUGAAGGAUGACUGCCCUAUGGGUUGUAAACUUCUUUUAUAUGGGAAUAAAGUGCAGUAUGUAUACUGCUUUGCAUGUACCUUAUGAAUAAGGAUCGGCUAACUCCGUGCCAGCAGCCGCGGUAAUACGGAGGAUCCGAGCGUUAUCCGGAUUUAUUGGGUUUAAAGGGAGCGUAGGCGGGUUGUUAAGUCAGUUGUGAAAGUUUGCGGCUCAACCGUAAAAUUGCAGUUGAUACUGGCAUCCUUGAGUACAGUAGAGGUAGGCGGAAUUCGUGGUGUAGCGGUGAAAUGCUUAGAUAUCACGAAGAACUCCGAUUGCGAAGGCAGCCUGCUGGACUGUAACUGACGCUGAUGCUCGAAAGUGUGGGUAUCAAACAGGAUUAGAUACCCUGGUAGUCCACACAGUAAACGAUGAAUACUCGCUGUUUGCGAUAUACAGUAAGCGGC
This 573-nucleotide ribosomal RNA is filed under the name uncultured bacterium. RNAcentral's name for it is "bacterial SSU rRNA". It matches the Rfam family "Bacterial small subunit ribosomal RNA", at positions 274 to 847 of the family's 1533-position model. The record is from RNAcentral.